RNAcentral lists this long non-coding RNA (395 nucleotides) under Fukomys damarensis (Damara mole-rat). Its description in RNAcentral is "lncRNA (ENSFDAG00000033615.1)". Lineage: Eukaryota; Metazoa; Chordata; Mammalia; Rodentia; Bathyergidae. The record is from RNAcentral.
AGAAGCCACAAAGAGCCCUGAUUGGUGUUCUUUCUCUUCAUUUUGCAGAUAUGAAAAUAGUCUCCAAAGGGUUGCAAGGUUUAUCUAAAGCCACAGGAUGGAUGAAGACUGCUUAGCCCACAGCUGGAAUCUGAAUGUCUGGACUUUUAGUCUAAAAUCAUCUGCCUAGAAGAAAGGAAGGGGAAGAUAUCAGGACAUUGCUUAAGGCUUAAGUCUGAACCCAACCUCAUCACUCAAGAGACAAGAAAAAGAGACGCACUGCCAGAGCUAAAGCCUGAGAACCAGGAUUUAAGAAUCUAAGGACACUUCAAUCACUGUUGUCAUGUGGAAUGGAGAAUUUAGCCGUUGCCCCAUCUACUGUCACUGAACAUUUCUGGCGAGAGCAAGUGAGAUGU